UCUUCAGACAAUGCUA
Molecule: small RNA, 16 nt
Filed under: Arabidopsis thaliana (thale cress)
Lineage: Eukaryota; Viridiplantae; Streptophyta; Magnoliopsida; Brassicales; Brassicaceae
Description: ATSL192130
Source: RNAcentral